CGCGGCCUGGGCCGGGAGGCGGGCGAGCCCUCGGUGCUCGCCGCCGCGGCCCACCUCGACGGCGUCCGGGCCGCCGGCCGCGGC
Molecule: transfer RNA, 84 nt
Filed under: Streptomyces lucensis JCM 4490
Lineage: Bacteria; Bacillati; Actinomycetota; Actinomycetes; Kitasatosporales; Streptomycetaceae
Description: tRNA-Arg
Source: RNAcentral